This 4336-nucleotide unclassified non-coding RNA is filed under the name Hermetia illucens (black soldier fly). Its description in RNAcentral is "tau-tubulin kinase homolog Asator, transcript variant X1". The record is from RNAcentral. Lineage: Eukaryota; Metazoa; Arthropoda; Insecta; Diptera; Stratiomyidae.
UAGAAAUGAUUUGGAACAAGGUCUUGCUAAGCCGGCACAGAGCGGUCUAAGGCUUGGCAAUGCACUCCAGCGCUCCGCAACUCUUCCUGCCAAUCCAAAAAAAUUGACCAAACCGCGGGUUACAUUCCGUGUUCGUUCACCAUCAACAGAUCAAAACAAUAACAAUAAUAUAAAAAUGACAUCGGAAGAUCUGCUGCAGCCCGGUCACGUGGUCAAAGAACGGUGGAAAGUUGUCCGUAAAAUCGGUGGCGGAGGUUUUGGAGAAAUUUAUGAAGGACAAGAUUUAAUAACUCGUGAACAAGUCGCACUAAAAGUUGAAUCUGCACGGCAACCGAAGCAAGUUUUGAAAAUGGAAGUCGCCGUACUUAAAAAACUACAAGGGAAAGAACAUGUUUGCAGAUUUAUCGGAUGCGGAAGGAAUGAUCGGUUCAAUUAUGUGGUUAUGCAGUUGCAAGGAAAAAACUUAGCUGAGCUGAGACGUGCCCAACCACGUGGUGCAUUUUCUCUGAGUACAACGUUGCGUUUAGGAGUCCAAAUUUUGAAAGCAAUUGAGUCAAUACAUUCAGUUGGAUUUCUUCACCGAGAUAUAAAGCCGAGCAACUUCUCAAUUGGACGUUUGCCAUAUAAUUGCCGCAGAGUUUAUAUGCUUGACUUUGGACUAGCGCGACAAUAUACUACUGGUACAGGAGAAGUGCGUUGCCCACGAGCAGCAGCAGGAUUUAGAGGCACGGUACGAUACGCUUCAAUAAAUGCUCAUCGGAAUAGGGAAAUGGGUAGACAUGACGACUUGUGGUCACUAUUUUAUAUGUUGGUUGAAUUUGUAAAUGGACAACUUCCCUGGCGAAAAAUCAAAGAUAAAGAACAAGUAGGAUUAAUGAAAGAAAAAUAUGAUCAUCGACUUCUACUCAAACAUCUGCCGUCAGAUUUAAAACAAUUUCUAGAGCAUAUACAAUCCCUUACAUAUGCAGAUAAGCCAAAUUAUGCUAUGUUAGAGUCAUUAUUUGAGAGAUGUAUGAAACGACGAGGUGUCAAAGAAUCAGAUCCAUACGACUGGGAAAAAAGUGAUGCAACUGGGAACUCAAACUCUAGUCAAGGAAAUAACGUCCAAAUGCAAGCUAAAAAUGAAUACCUCCAUGGAAAUGUCACUCAAAUGACUGUUGCUGCUUCAAAUGCGAGUGGAACUGACUGCGUGGUCCGAAGGCGUAAUGAAAUCGAUACUGUUCAGAUGGCAACAACAGAGCCAGUCAAUCACCAUAAAGAUAAGGUUGAUAAAAAUUGUAAUGCCACUACUUCGCCUCAUCACGAAAUCAAUUCAGGAUUAAAUGAAAAUAAUACAAUUGAUCAACAUCAUCAACGUGAACCACGGGAGAACACACAACAACAGCAUACACGGUCACAAAUGUAUACCGCACCACCCAAUCAACCACAGAAUUUGUCGUCGUUCUUGAAAUUGAAUUCGAACGAUCAAGAAGAUCAAAAUCAACCAAAUAAUGCUCAUCUACAGCACAACAUGCAAGGAGUAUCAAUGCAACCUAUGAAGGCGCAAUUGGUUUCGAGCGAACGUGAUACUGCGCCACAAACACAUUAUCAUCAAUCGCAUUCGCGAAGCGAUCACCAGCCGGCCCAUCAUCACCACCACCAAAGUAUUCAUGCUUCACUGCAAAAAAAAAUUCAUUCCUCGGUACAAGAAUCGAACCAAAAUACUCAUAUGACUGGAAAUCCUAUGAAAACCGCGUCAGCCGGAGCAAUUCCUUCGCUUGCAGGGGUAGUUAGCUCACCACACCGAACAGCUCAGACCGGAACCACUGAUGGAGAGGCGGCACAUAAUUUUUUUUGUGGGAAUGAGAAUGCGAGUAGUUGCAAUAAGCUUCCCAAGUCUAGUCAGGAAAAGUCAACUUAUGGUCGGCUGCGAGUGUUCACCGCUCCACCUACCUCAGUUCACGAACUAGCGGGAACAACGGCAGAAACAGGAUCACCCCGUGAAACAGAAGGGUCACCCUUUUCUUUCGACUUGAAUAAAAUGGAAUUUCGAAACCAAAGGCAUUCAGCUGGGGGUGGUGGUAGCGGAAGCGUUGGUAUGAAUAUCACAGGUGGUCGACGAUCGAAUUUGCGCCCUUCUUCAGGCUCGGGAUCAACACAUCGCCUAAGUUCAUCAGGUGGUGAUAGAGGUGGUUUAAGCAUUGGCGGAAACCGAGAUCAUUCAGUUACGCAGUUCGCCCUUAUCGAUGAUGAAAAUGUUUCUGCUCUGCAACAGGUGACAAAAGGCGGUGGUGCUUUAACUUUAGCGUCGCAAUGGAAGAGCCAGUUUGAUGAUUCAGAGGAAACCACGGAUAACGAGUGGAAACAAGAACCGCAGAGCCCUGAUCAUAAAGAUAAAAGCAAUUUAGGAUCACAUUCACAACCUAAUUUAAUAAAUAGGCAACCACAAAUACGCCGUCGUGAAAUCAAACGUAAAAAAUGUAAUUUAAAUAUAGCUGGAAUUGAGAAUUACAGCAAUUUACAUGAAUUGCUUCCACAUUGCUGGUCCGAACCAGCUCUAGGAAAUGUUUUACGUCGCGAUCUAAAGCCACCUGUUAUCCAACAAGCUGCAUUUGACGAUACGGUAUUUCGUAUGGAUAUUAUUCGAAACGUUGGUAUUCGACAAACUGUAGCCGACUCCGCUGUCCCAGAGGAAACAGCAUUGAUUGAUCUAGAUAACUGCAAGGUCAUAAAUUCCUCCGAUAAAAUGGUUGACGCGUCAGUAGCUCCGAACCAGAAGCUGAUUAAUGCAAAGAGAUUCCGCAAUAGUUUACCAAAUAUCGCAUUAAAUAGUGCUCCAGAUGUUACAGUAUCUGCACGACCGCCAUCACCGCCACUUCAACAACUAAUCAAUUCAUUUGAUACGCAUUUAAAACUGAAUAUUUUCAAUAAUACUCAUAAUGUUAUACAAAGUAGUCAUAAUCACGCUGAUGCCAGUUAUACGAGCCAGCAAAACAAUAGUAAAGCGAUAUUCAACUCGAAUUGCGAAAUGAAAUUGCCACCAGCAAAAGUAGAGAAAAUUGAAUGUGACUUUAACUUGGAUCCCACGGAAACGAACGAGAGUCACGUUAGAGCUGAAUCGAUAAAUAAUAGUGUUGAUAACAGAGACAAAAUUCUAGGGGUUGACCAACAGGAUGAAGAAGGAUGCGCUGUCAGCGGUCGGUUGGAAAUUCGUGUCAUUCCAAAAGAGAGCCCGAAUCCUGAUGAAUCGAUUUAUUUUGAUGCUCUAGCAAAUGGUACUUCGAUUAAUAUUAAAAACAUUAAUAUUGUUAGAAAUGGCGUACUCGACUUACAACAUUAUUUAUUAGGUAACAAUAACCAAAACAGUGCGGCAGUAUCUACAACAUCGCAUUUUCAAACGCCAACUAGUCAUGUAUGUCCAGAAGUUCAUCAAACAUCUGUAGCAGCGACGAAGUCGAAAACCGUAAAUGAUAGACCAAGCAGUCAAAUUUCAUCAACAGUACCCUUGAAUGAGUCGAAAUUGAUACAUCAAGAUCAAAGUGAGGAUUAUCAUAACCUGCAAAGCGUAUUUCAUAGUCAUCAACAAAUCGGCAACACUAACCUCACGGAAAAUUGUGAUGGGGAAGAUAACAGCAAGGUUCUUGAUGAAUCUGCUGUAAUUGCCGCUAGAACACAAGAUCCUCGACACGAAGCCGCUAGUUUCAACAAAGUUAAACUAGACGACCCAACACAGAAAGAGCAAUACGAGUGCAUACAUCAUAAAGACAAUCUGGUUCCUUCAGGGAUUAGCAGCGGUGUCGCUAGUAGAAUCCCCGUGUUGAACACAAGUUUACGUUUAUCGAAAUGUGCAUCUUGGUCUGGAUGUGAUGUUCAGCCGUCAGGUCAUAUUGUAACAGCAGCAGGAAAUUCAUCAGCUGGAACUGCAAGUAAUUCAUCAGCAGCAACGACAACUACCACAACUAUUUCCAAUAACGCACAACUUAAUGUCGAUAUGAUUGAUCUUACACCUGAUUUUGAUUAGUUACAAAAUACAAUAAAAAUAUAGUGUAGUAGAAAAACACACAAGCUUUUCUAAUACUAAGAAAACAAAUGAAAUGAAUCAGUUCCAUCUCAACAAAAAUUAAUCACUAUCUUCAAAACAAAGUCAAAAUCGUUUAUAUUUAAAUCUGACUUCCCUUCAAUCCAAUCAUCAUUAUCCUACUACACAGCAUUGCGGCGACGACGUCAAACUGAAAAAUAUGUAACCGACCCAUCUCAACUGAAUCUACGAUUUCAAAGACCUCGAUCGAGGCACAUAAACAGAAACCGCGGUAUACCGACUCACAUGUUAGGUACAUUUGAAGACAACUCUUCAGAC